GACACCAUAGCCGACUGGUCACGGUAACAGACAAGAAAUCUGUUUCCUUGUGAGGAUGCAGACAGGAAAUCUGCUCCUCUUCGGGAGUGCAGGUUCGAAUCCCGCUGGUGUGU
Russula earlei is the source of this 113-nucleotide non-coding RNA. The record is from the annotation of a GenBank genome assembly. NCBI's taxonomy places the organism in Eukaryota, Fungi, Basidiomycota, Agaricomycetes, Russulales, Russulaceae.